RNAcentral lists this unclassified non-coding RNA (399 nucleotides) under Hevea brasiliensis (rubber tree). Lineage: Eukaryota; Viridiplantae; Streptophyta; Magnoliopsida; Malpighiales; Euphorbiaceae. The record is from RNAcentral.
CUUAGGUUUUUCAUUGUUAACAGUUUUUGGUGAUGACAAUUUUAUGAGAUCAAUAAAAUUUUGAAAAUUAGUUCUCUUUCCAAUGAUUGGUCCUUAUUUUAUUCUUUAUUCUUGUUUGCUCUACAUCACUCCUACUCUAUUUAAGACUUAUUAAUGUUUUCCUACCUUGUCUAGGAUUCAGAUUUCUUUCAAUUUUAUUUAGGAUUUCCUAUUAUAUUUUAGUGUAUUUAAAGUUCCUACUUAGUAGUUUCAUAUUCCUAUUAAGUAUAGGAGAUUAAUAUCUAUAAAUACUCUUAUUUACAUGUAAUUUAGAGAUUGAUUUUUAUCAAUAAAAAUACUGCUGUGUCAAGUGGUAUCAGAGCGGGAGAAUCGCCUCAAUCAAGAUGGCUCACCUUGAUA